GAGUUUGAUCGUGGCUCAGGACGAACGCUGGCGGCGUGCUUAACACAUGCAAGUCACGGGGGCCCGCAAGGGCAACCGGCGAACGGGUGCGUAACACGUGAGCAAGCUUCCGAUUUGUGGGGGAUAGCCGGCCUAACGGCCGGGUAAUACCGCAUACGUUCACUGGGCGGCAUCGUCUGGUGAGGAAACCUCCGGGGCAAAUCGAGGCGCUCGCGGCCUAUCAGCUAGUUGGCGGGGUAAUGGCCCACCAAGGCGACGACGGGUAGCUGGUCUGAGAGGAUGGCCAGCCACAUUGGGACUGCGACACGGCCCAGACUCCUACGGGAGGCAGCAGUGGGGAAUAUUGCGCAAUGGACGAAAGUCUGACGCAGCGACGCCGCGUGUGGGAUGAAGCUCUUCGGGGUGUAAACCACUGUUGCCCGGGACGAAAUGCCCUUUCGAGGGAAUUGACGGUACCGGGUGAGGAAGCACCGGCUAACUCUGUGCCAGCCGCCGCUGU
Molecule: ribosomal RNA, 499 nt
Filed under: uncultured Gemmatimonadota bacterium
Lineage: Bacteria; Pseudomonadati; Gemmatimonadota
Description: bacterial SSU rRNA
Rfam family: Bacterial small subunit ribosomal RNA
Source: RNAcentral